UUACUUUGGUUUGUAUAAUUUGUUUUAUUCCUAGUUUUUCUUUUAUUCUUCCCCCUUUUUUUGUUCCCUCCCCAACCCGGUCCUCCCUUAUAUUCUGUCCCUGCCCGCAGAGCCACUCCGGCCUCCCCAACCUUCGUUCUUGUUCCUCUGUCCUCCACCCUCCCUGGCUCUCUCACCCUGCCUGGUUCUGUUCUCUCUCCGUCCUCUGCCGCACACCCCAGUCCUCUCUCCCCUGCUUUCUCCUUCUCCAUCCUGGCUGUUCCCACACGCUGCCUCCCCCUGGUCCCAGUCACUGCCUUCUUGCACACCCCGGCCCCCCCCCCGGCUCCUCCGGCCUCCUCCUCCUCCCCUAUCCCGGCUCUGCCACACACCCCAACCCCCUGUCCCCACCUCUGUUCCCCUUUUUCCUGUGCACACAUUAAUGCUUUUUGCUCCUUUUCUAAAGAAAGAAUUAAGAGGGGAACUUGGGCAGCAGCUGAGCAAUACUAAGUUACUCUGCAACCAGGUGAAGUGACUUGAAGCUUGUAAGGUGGUCACUUAGAACUUUGGGGGCUCCAGGCGUAGGUGACCAACAGAGACCCCUGAUGGAGCCCCUCAGAGACCUGAUGAGAGUUUGUGUGCACAGUAACAGGUGUUGGGAAAUGUCCUGAAUAUGAAACAGGAAUGCAGGAAACAAAAUGAGCCCUCGUGUAAUGCUGACCCCUCACAUCAACUGCAGUGGAGACACCUCUGUGUGUAGACAGAGUUGUUUCUGUCGUGUGGGCCAGUGGAAAACAGGUGUGGCCUAUGAAGGGCCAGGUUGGACAGUUGUCAAACAGGAGCAGAAGUGACUCUCCAGGUAGCCUAAUAUAAAUAUGAGAAGCAAAGUGGGCAAGUGCCUGCUGUGACUGCAGAGGCAGGGAUAGGUUGGGAUCACAAGAACUGGGGUGGGCAUGCUUAGGAUUGAGCUGCUUUAGAGCCUGGUUCAGAGGGUGAAGUGUUUGCUGAAGUACAGCCAAUAACAGGAGAGAAAGUGGAAGGUGACCCCGAUGGUUAUCCCAUCAGGCCUGAUGUGGUGGAGGAUUUUACUCAGACUGAACUUCCUGGUGUUAUGGAGAGGUUUAAAGUAAAGGCCAGAGAGUCUGUGAUCUCCUGGACAGUUGGGCUGCAUGACCUGGGAGCCUCUGGGAUCAGAUUGGACUGGGCAGACAGGGAGCAGUUUGUCCCAUGGAGCUGGGCUGGGUUUGUUCAGGAUGCCUUCGGAGGCAGGGCUGGAGAGGCUCCUUUGUUGGCUGUAGUGGUGGAAGGUUGUCCCAGGAGGGCUGGAGCCCUUCGACCUCCUGCUCCCCCCGUGAGCCCCGACGGGACCGUGCACUUGGCAAUGGAGGGCCCCCCAUUGCUGAGUCAGCGGUUCCGGGGGCCGGCAGGGAUGGGAUCAGGAUGCCGAGCUCCAGCCCAGGCAGGGCAGGAAAUGGUGCAGCCACUGAAAGAAGCGAAGGCAGAGUGAGGUGAAGGCCGAGCUCCAGCACAAGGGUGGGUGAGAAAAGCCCAUGGCCCUCAGGUGGAGCUUUGAAUUCCUUGGAAAAAUGCAUCUUGUCAAAGGGCUCAGGCCCUUGUGGGUGCUGGAGCGGAGGCCUCUUCAACUGAUGGUCAGCCUAAAAAGGUGCAAGGACAGCAAGUUUUGAGGACAGGAUGAGGUGGCAAACAAGGUGAAGUGGUACAGAGAAAAGCUGAGCUUCAGAUUGGUCCUCUGCCACAGCAGCCUUGUGGAGUGCUUAUUGCUGUGCCUGACUGUGGAAGGGCAGUGGAUAUUUCCAAGGGCUGCCUUGUGCUGAGGAACACUGGGGUCAGUUCCUUUUCCCUGGGCAGGGCAGGCAGGGCAUGUUUACCUGGCCCCCUCGAGUGUGGCUUCGUAAGACUUGACCUGAUCACCAAAUGCAAAGAGUAAAUAGAGGGGGUCCAUUGGUGACCUUUGGGCAUCAGGUAGAACAACUCACUGCUCACCUCUGGGGGGACAUAUUUACAGCAUUCUCACCAUCUGAUAGGAAGUUUUCUGAACACUUUUUUUCAUCCACUAAUUAUUCAAUUAUUCAAAAAUAUUCAAUCCACUAAUAGUAAUUACACUGAUUUUAUGAACAAUAGGGAGUUGUUGUCUAUGGUAUCAACUCCAGGAAGUUGUUUCUUGCACGCCUCUGUCCUGACCAGGGAUCAAAGGACCAAAGGGAAAGGAUGAGAAGUUCCCUGAGAGUUGCUGCCCAGGGGCUGCUGCCCCUGAGGAACAGGGUGAAGGCUGUCUGUGCUCAGGUGCCCUGGCUGAAGUGUGCAGUUGGUGUGAGUGUUGCUGCAGAAAGGCAGGCCAGGUGUGUGCAGCUGUUCUGUGCCCUCCACCCUCGUCCCUGCCGGGGCACCUGACCAGCGCUCCAGGGGUGGCCAACUUGGAGCUCACAAGAAGCUGCCCGUGCCCACGACCGGACAGUGCCAGGCUUGGCCUAAAGCCAGCUCUGUCGGUCAGAGUCUGGCCAGCGGGAGCCUCUUGUAGCCACCCCGCAGCCUUUCCUGUGGAUGGAUGCACCCGUAGGAAUUGUGGCAGUUCCCGGAGACUGUGGGAUCGGCUGCACUGGGGCUGCCCAGCUGCCCUGUGGGCUGGGGGUGGAGCGUGAGGGGGCCGUGGGGGAGAGAUUUCUGCUUAGCCACAGUUCUGUCUCUCGGGGCAGUCAGGAUUUGAUGCCUUGCUCAUUUUCUUUUUUAUCCCAUAAAUCUCUAUCUGAUGUGUUGGAUUGUCUUUGUUUAAACUGUUUCUAUUAUUCUAUGACUGGUGAGUCGUUUCCUUGAGUGCCCUGCCUGUCAGCACAGCACCAGGUCUGUUCAGCAGCUGGAGACUGGGCAGGUUUGGGGGCUGUGGUGUCCCAGCUCCCUUUGCCAUCCCUGCUGAAGGGUGGGAACUGCACAGAGCCAGCAGCGUCCAGCUGGAGGAUCCAGGAGGAUGCAGCUCUGCUGUUCUGGGAGGGACACUGAGCUGGUCCAACUGUGGCAAGAAGAACAAGUGGGCCGUGAAGGUUUGGAGCAUUCUGGAAGGUUCCUCGUGCCCAAAGGAUCCUGGCAAGUGCAGCACUGGAAGAGUACAGAAUAAUGAAAAGUGCCUCAGUUCUUGUGAAGCUCAGCUUUGUAAAACAAGUCUCAAGACCAGACAAAAUCCUCCAGCAGGGAGCUUGGCAGAAAAGGCCCUGUGAAGCAAAGCAGCAUGAAAACCCAGAGCUGCUUGUGGAUGGCAGGUGAAACUUGGAGCCCUCCCAGGUUGUAAAAAGAGCCUUGGGAAUUGGCUUCUGGGAACAGGAAUCCGUUUCCUGAUGGGAGUCCUUGAAAUAGAACGAUGCCAGGAGCCUGCAGCCUUGGAAAACACAUAUGCCUGGGCUGCAGCUCCCAAGGGACGAUGCAGGGAUUCAGCACGUGCCCUUGUGCAGUCCAAAGAAAGGGAGUUUUAUUGCAUUCCCAGGAACUGCUCCAACAGCUGUGGACUUGCCCCUGCCUUCUCAGGGUAAGGAUGCGGUGACAGCAAGAAGGCUGUUGGUGGGAUUGGAGGGCACUUGCUGCAUGUUGGUCAGAUGUGUAACCUGUGGAAUGGGUGUGUUUCCUGGGAGAAAACAUUCUGGAGUGGCAGAAUGGUUGCCACAGACACCACGUGAGUGCCACACCACGGCGUGAGCCUUCAGGCCCUGCGAGUCCUCACCCAGACUUGGUGAAGUGUUGAAGUGUGAACUGAUUGCUGGGAGUAAGGAUGUGUCUGCCUCAGUCAGGGCUUCCUGUGGAAUGUUGGUGCUGCUGCUGCCGGGAGAGAGAAAUCCAUUGGGAAGCUGGGAUACAAACAGCAACUCUGUGAAUUACUCAGCUUCUCCUAGGACAAGGAAUUCACUGACUUGGGUCCAGCUCUGCCAAUGCCUCGUGGUGUGAGCAACCAAAGCAGCUCUUCUCGUGCAGGAAAUAACUCCUGUCAGCAGCACCGUCCCGACUGAAGCGGCACAUGGAGCUGUUCCUGUGGUGUGGGCCAGUGGAAUUCCAGGAGAAUGGACAAGGGCAGACCCUGUAGGUAUUACCAUGAAGCUGAGAUCUCUCUAGAAUGUGACUGCAAGAACCUGCAAAGAAACCCAGUGGCAAAGAGGAUGGAUCAGUGCAGGACGUGAGAGAAGCACCUGAAAUGACAACGUUGAGCAGCUGACAGUCUUAGAUUUCAAGAUGCCCUUUGCUGCAUCUCCUGGAGCAAGGCAAGCCAAGAAACCUUUGCUUUUGAAGGAGAAAAUGCAGAAAUGGGGAAGGAAGACAAGAAGCCACCUGAGUCCUCCCUGAGCCACAGGCAGUCCAUGAAGUGCCUUCCUGGGAACGGUAGGACAGUGAGGACUCUAGAUUGCUCCCUAUGGAUGGGUGGAUCUGCCCUGCAGAAACUCCCGGAAUUGACGUUGACACCCCGGCCGAUGGAUUGGACGCCCCAGCCCGUCCGUUCCUGCCCAGCCGCUGGGUCCCUGUCAGGCGGUGGGACUCCCAGCCUGUCCAGGGGGCUGUGGCGUCGAAAGUGCCCAGAGCUGAGCCAGAGGAUUGAAAGGGACUAACCCAGUGAGGUGAAGAAACAAGGAAGAAGGGAAGUGAGGCAGCAGCCAAGCAGCACCAAGUUCCUCUGUCAGCAGGUGAGUUGUCUUGAGGCUCCUAAGGCAGGCACUCGGGACUUUGGGGGCUCCAGACAGAGAAGACCUCGAAGGUCCCUUGAUGAAGCCCCUCAGAAACCUUAUCAGGGUAGGUGUGUAUGGUUGUAAGUGCUGGGGAACGUCCUGAGCGUGGAACAGGAAUGCAGGGAACAAAAUGAACCCUCAGGGAAUGCUGAGCUGCAGCGGAGGCACCUCUGUGUGCACUGUGGGAGCUGAUGGCCAGGGCCCCCGGUGGGCUGGGAUCAGUGCAGGGUGUUGUCAGCAAGGAAUGCCUGGCUUCUAAAACUCACCAGCUGAGUCUUAGAGGCUUCUUUGCCAAGCUGUUUUCAGGCAGCCAAAUUGGCCCCAGGCAGGGACUCUGCGCCUGCUCUCCUGGUGUUCCCAGGGAUCUCUGGGCCUUCACGCCGGCACCGAGAUGUUCUUGGGAAGGCCCUCAGAUCCCCGGAGCAGUCUGGGACACGGGCAAGAUGCCCCUGCAUUUCGGGGGCAGAUUGGGCCCCCCUGGAGGGACAGUGCUGUUGCUGCCCCCCGGGCUGGGACACUCGGAGAACUCCAGCGCGCACCGAAAUUGUUCUUCGGGGAUCUCCUCUGGGUGCCCCAAGCUGGGGAGCUGAAAGCAAGGUCCCUGGAAUGGAUUCAGGCAUUCCUGAGAGUAUCAGAGGUGUAGCUGUGUGUCCUGGCCAUGGAGCUCUGGAAUGGACUGUAACUGGGUUCUAAAAGUGGUGCUCCAACUGUAAAAGGACUCUGGGAUUGGAAUUAAGGAAUGAGUGGUGAUGGUACCGUUGGCUGUUUUCUCUUGAAUGCACUUGUGAGAGCUGUAGGAUUGCAAGGUGUGGGUUCCAGUCCCCACUGUUUGGUUUGCACGUGUCCUGGUCAGACACAGGUCCAACUUCCUUA
Myiozetetes cayanensis is the source of this 5570-nucleotide long non-coding RNA. RefSeq lists it as uncharacterized. Lineage: Eukaryota; Metazoa; Chordata; Aves; Passeriformes; Tyrannidae. The transcript is spliced from 10 exons. The record is from RefSeq and is a predicted model, not a curated record.